RNAcentral lists this long non-coding RNA (308 nucleotides) under Phaseolus vulgaris (common bean). Its description in RNAcentral is "long non-coding RNA (PVUL_LNC002191)". Lineage: Eukaryota; Viridiplantae; Streptophyta; Magnoliopsida; Fabales; Fabaceae. The record is from RNAcentral.
CAAUGUCAGAAUUGACAAACCAGUUCCUCUAAAGAGAUGCAACAGCCUAAAAGAGUUCUCCGUUUAGCCUUGAAUUUAAUAUUGACUAAUCUUAAUACUAAUACUAAUACUAAUACUAAUAAUAAUAAAAUCUGAUUGCAGAUGAGUUUUUAGUUGUUUAUAUAUCUGGAGUGUCUACCUGUUUCAAUGGUUGAAAGUCUAAAAAUAAUCUGUGAUUGUAUUGUAAACAGAGCAUGGAAUUUAUUAUUAUGUUUUGGAAGGAAAUAAUGUAUAGUAUUUCUAUUGUUGAAAGUUAACUUGGGUCAUGA